RNAcentral lists this ribosomal RNA (508 nucleotides) under uncultured bacterium. RNAcentral describes it as "partial 16S ribosomal RNA". It matches the Rfam family "Bacterial small subunit ribosomal RNA", at positions 28 to 523 of the family's 1533-position model. The record is from RNAcentral.
GGUGAACGCUGGCGGCAGGCCUAACACAUGCAAGUCGAACGGCAGCGGGUAGGAAGCUUGCUUCCUAUGCCGGCGAGUGGCGGACGGGUGAGGAAUACAUCGGAAUCUGCCCCGUCGUGGGGGAUAACGUAGGGAAACUUACGAUAAUACCGCAUACAACCUGAGGGUGAAAGCGGGGGAACGCAAGGCCUCGCGCGAUGGGACGAGCCGAUGUCCGAUUAGCUAGUUGGUGGGGUAAAGGCUCACCAAGGCGACGAUCGGUAGCUGGUCUGAGAGGAUGAUCAGCCACACUGGGACUGAGACACGGCCCAGACUCCUACGGGAGGCAGCAGUGGGGAAUAUUGGACAAUGGGCGCAAGCCUGAUCCAGCCAUGCCGCGUGGGUGAAGAAGGCCUUCGGGUUGUAAAGCCCUUUUGUCCGGGAAGAAAGCGCCCUGGUGAAUAGCCGGGGUGGAUGACGGUACCGGAAGAAUAAGCACCGGCUAACUUCGUGCCAGCCGCCGCAGUAA